AUGCUCACUUCAGCAGCACAUAAACUAAAAUUAGAAUUAGAAUGCUGCAGAGAAGAUUAGCAUGGACUCUGCACAAGGAUGACACGUAAAUUUGUGAAGCAUUCCAUAUUCAU
RNAcentral lists this small nuclear RNA (113 nucleotides) under Meriones unguiculatus (Mongolian gerbil). Lineage: Eukaryota; Metazoa; Chordata; Mammalia; Rodentia; Muridae. The record is from RNAcentral.